Molecule: ribosomal RNA, 250 nt
Filed under: uncultured bacterium
Lineage: Bacteria
Also listed under: 1 other name
Description: partial 16S ribosomal RNA
Rfam family: Bacterial small subunit ribosomal RNA
Source: RNAcentral
GACGUGGGGGGCGAGCGUUGUCCGGAAUUACUGGGCGUAAAGGGCGUGUAGGCGGCCUGCCAAGUCAGCUGUGAAAUUCCUCGGCUCAACCGGGGGUCUGCAGUUGAAACUGGUGGGCUUGAGUGCAGGAGAGGAGGGUGGAAUUCCUGGUGUAGCGGUGAAAUGCGUAGAUAUCAGGAGGAACACCGGUGGCGAAGGCGACCUUCUGGCCUGUUACUGACGCUGAGGCGCGAAAGCUAGGGGAGCAAAC